AUUGAACGCUGGCGGCAGGCCUAACACAUGCAAGUCGAACGAGUGGCGGACGGGCGAGCAAUGUCUGGGAAACUGCUUGACGGAGGGGGAUAAAUACUGGAAACGGUAGCUAAUACCGCAAAACACCGGUUGUGCUCUGAUGGGAUUAGGUAGUAGGUGGGGUAACGGCUCAUCUGGGCGACGCGCCCUAGCUGGUCUGAGAGGGUGACCAGCCACACUGGGACUUAGACACGGUCCAGACUCCUACGGGAGGCAGCAGUAGGGAAUAUUGGACAAUGGGCUCAAGCCUGAUGCAGCCAUGCCGCGUGUGUGAAGAAGGCCUUCGGGUUGUAAAGUCCUGUCAGCAGGGAAGCGUUACCCACAGAGAAAGCAACGGCUAACUCCGUGCCAGCAGCCGCGGUAAUAC
Molecule: ribosomal RNA, 406 nt
Filed under: uncultured bacterium
Lineage: Bacteria
Description: partial 16S ribosomal RNA
Rfam family: Bacterial small subunit ribosomal RNA
Source: RNAcentral